UUUUUUUUUUUUAAUUUUUUUUUUUUAACUCUGGCACUCUUUGUGUUAAACACAGUGAGUUUAACACUGGCCUUUUUGGCCUGCUCUUAACUUCUUCUGUAAAUGAAGUUGUAUUUUUGUCCUUGUAAUGCAAGUAUUCUCUCCUAGGCCCUGUUUAAGCUUUGUUAAACCCUGUAUUGCUUACUUUCCCAACAAAUAAAUAGGCCUCAUUUACUUUUACAGUAACCAAAACUGAAAUUAUUGAUUACCUGUUCCUUCAAAACAUGGUGUUAAACAGCUUCACUUCCAAACCAGAGAAACUGCACACAGCAGAAAAUCCCCCAGAAAUGUAAAAAGGUCAGUGGUGCAUUUGAUGACAUGAGUGCUUAUGAAGCCACAUAAUUCAUCAUUUUGUUACUGCAGAACAUGUUCCUAGGGAGAUUAACAUUUGCCAAUAAAUAUACCAUAUGCUGGAUUCUGCAUGAAGAUUUUUUUUAAAGCUACUUUACUAAGUCAUUAUGGAUCUCCCAUGACAACUACGACUAAAAAUGGGCCAAACCCACCAGGGUUCCCUAGACCAGUGAAGGAUGAAGGUUAAGGGAUGAAGUCAUGUCUCAUUCGUGUACCAAUUCUUCAGUGAGAUGUUUACAAUUAAAUAGUUUGGUUGUGACUUGUCUUUUGGGCAGAACUAUUACUCCUCUGUGAGGUUGUGGACUUAACCCUUCCUUCUCUCCACAAGAAGAAUGGAGAAAGAUCACAGACAAAAGUAAAGUAGAAUUUGAACAGCUAUUAGUGUCUGAUGAGGUUUAGAUUCCAACAUGAAUUGUGGAUAUUGAAGAAAGGCUAUUAGUAGUUUCCUAUUACAAUUAAAUUCUAACUUAUUUUCUAAGUCAAAGGACCAAAUGAAAAAAAUAAAAAAACUAGUUUUUUGGAAGUUGGUCUCUCACAAGAAGCUGUUAUAUGUUCCACUUUCAUCCUGUCAUGGUCCUUCCUUAGUAAAGUUGCCUGAAACUGCAGAGAGAGAAAAUGGGCUUUCCAGCAACUGCAGCAGGAAGCUCCAUUAGACAGACACAGCACGAGCUCACUCAUAGUCUAUAGCUGCUUGUACCAACCAGCUGAGAAAAAUCCUUUGCAGAUUGGUGAAAAAAGCAUCACAUUGCUUCUUUGACUCAGCUAUCUUCCUGACUUGUGCCAAAAUAGUUAAUAUUUCCGUGCCUGCCGUCAGCCUCUCCCGUGUUACACUCUGCCAGUAAAUGAAAUAUGGCUCUUUAAAACACACAACCUGCCUUUGUGCGUGUGCAGACUCAAGUACUCACACAAAACAUACUUGCUUUUGACGUAAAAACACUAUAUAUAUACACCCAACACUGCAUGUGCUGAACUAGAACCUAAAUCACGUCACUGGAGGAAAAUUCUUUGAAGAAUUAAGUAUGACUGGGGGCAGGUUCACAGCAUGUGAGAAACUCUAAAGAUCUCUGGAGAUGAAAGACAGUACUUAAUUUUAAACACUGGGAAACAAAUUCCCAGUAUAGCUGGAAAUUAAUGACAAUAUUCCCAAGAAACUUCAUUAGAAAGAGUAUUUGGCUCAUGUGACAUAGUACAGAUGUUUAAAUUUUAUCAUGAUGGAUACUGUGUAAAUGACUAAAUAAAGAAGGAAAAGACAUGAUGAAAUAAAAACAAUAGUAGUAUGUAUUUUAUAAAAUUAUCUUAAAAUGGAUGUUCAAAAUAGAUGUAAUUCUAGGCUUUUGCUUUUGUGAAAAAGUCUUUCCCCCAUUUUAAGUUUCCAUUUGAAUGAACAGAGAGAUUUCCUAAAGCAAACCAUGCACUAACAGAAUAAAUUCCAGUUCAGACAAUAUUCAUAUAAGUGCAUGUCCUGCCUGUAGAAGCAUAUACGGUUUCUUUUCUCUGGCCACUAUAGAAUUAAUUCUGCUGAGAAUCAGCACAAACUUGAUAUAUCUGAGAGGAAACAGAACAAGAGAACAGUAUGUGUCUGCUUAUCUGUUUCAGCCUAUUUUUAAAUGUGAAAAACUUUCAGUAAAGCCAAACACCAGCAAUUAACAAUCAGGAAAUCCUUUUGGCCUGACUGAUCAAGAAAUGGUAUUAUUUCAGUGCUACAAAUGAAAUGGUUCAUAGAACUGGCAAAUGGGACACUUUUUCCACACUAAAUUUAAAACAGUUGCAAUAGCCAAAAUUAACCAAGGUCAUAGCCAUAUAUGAAGGUGCUAUUUUGAACAGAAAAAAUGAGCUAUCUGAUUAAAAAAUAUAUAUUUUUACCUUGCUGUGUUUUGGAAGAUUCAGUGUCUUUCCUUCUUCUCCCCUAUUCUUCAAGUAACUUUUCAUACCACUGUGUUUGAACAGUAAAAGCUCUUUGUACCUGGUAGCUUAAAAUGAGUGAUGUGUAAGCAAUUCAUUCCUCCUGCAAUCAUGGGUGGUGCCCAGAAGAAAUGACAGAUUUUCUGUGUGUAUUUUGAAAGACUUGAGAGUCCACUUUAUCCUGACCAUUACAGAAUGGUUUUGCUCCAACACAUGUCAGGGAAAUGACACUGAAUGGGCUUUCAGGGAAAAACUGUCUGACAGCCCAACUACUUGCAAAUCAUUAAGUUGCCAGUUUUUUCUUUCCUAUCAAUAAAGUAAGAUAGAAAGCAGAAUGAAGUAAUUUAGCCACAUAGGCAGUUAGCACAUGCAAGUUCUUGAGAGCAGAGGAUGUUGAUUAGCUAUGGGACCUAUGAGAAGCCAUCUUAUCCAGGUAAUUAUGAGGCCUCUGAGACCUGCUGGUCUAUUGCCUGGAGCAGUACUGUGAUUUUUGGCUGCUAGAUUUUUUCCAACAGUUCUUGCUACAGCCACUAUAGACUUCUAAAUCAUUAUUUUGGCUGAUGAAACAGUAAAGACUUGAGUUCAUCAUCCACAGGAUGAUCUCACUGCUCUGCAAGUAUCAGGCAGAGAUCAUCUCUGCUGUCUUUUCAGCCUUGUUGUAACACAGGUUAAUUACAAGAAAUGUGGCUAUAAAAGAGAAUGUAAUUCUCAGUAUUCUCACCACCAAAAUUUACAACCUAUUAAGAAAUUUUGAAAUAAUUAAAUAGCAUUGUAGACAUGUCCUUUUUUAACAACAACAGGUUCCCUCUGGUGAAGAUGGGGGUCUCAAAUACCCCUAUACCCCUUUUGUUCUUUUCUAACAAGGCAGCACCCCCAAAAAGCACACAUGCACAAGCUUCUGUGCUGAUUUUGUGAAACCAUUUCUGUUUACAUAUGUAUUUCAUUAAUUUUGAAUAAAACAAAAUAAUUACUAAUAAGUCUGCCUAUAGUCAUAAAUAUUUUGUCCAUUGCUGGUAUGAAGUUACUUAUCUGUCUCCUGUCACAUGCAGGUCCACCUAAAAGAAAACAGAGCACAGCAGUGAAGUCUCAUUAUUGUUUGUAUCUGUCCCUAUUUUGGAAACUUAUGUAAUUUCAUACUACCUUUACCUUAACCAUUGUUUGCCACUUUCAGCACUAUCUCAGAAUGUUACAGGCUCUGUCUCCCUCUGGUGAUCAGCGAGGCCACAGGACAGCCAGCAUCCCCAUGAUGCGUUUCUGUGAUCCACACAUAGGACACUGUUCAUUUGCCACUCAAAAUCCAAAUGAUUGCAUGCCAACAAUAUCUUAUAUUUACUAAUUGUAUAAUCAUACUACUGACAUAUGAUUUUGCAGUUACAGUUUAAAAUAUAAUUCCAAUACAAAUGGUUUGAACUUGUUUUCUAAAAAGUUUGCAUGUAAAAUCUUUCCAAGCCAUGUUGAAUCAAGUUAUAAAUAUAUCAGUAGGAGAACUGUGGCUCCUAAAGAGACUUUAAUGUGAAAUAUUUCUUAAAGAGCACUGUAUUGCCUUGCACAAUAUACUUUCAGUUCUUUGAAGUUGCUUUUAUUCUGAAUAGGCAGUGCUUGACUGACAUAUCUUCUGCUCCAUAAAUCUAGAUGAAGAGCAUAAAAUGCCAGAGAAAACCUGUUAGUUUAACAGUAGCUGCCAAGUUAUAUUUUGCGUUAUACCUAUGUGACAUCCUAAAUUCUUCUGAUGUGUAUCUAUACAUUUACAUAUAAAUAUACAUAUAAAAGAGAGUAUAUCUAUCCACAUCCACCCACAUACUUAGAGGACAAGGGUAGAAAUAAAAAAUUCAACUCUGUAGAAAUGUAUUUCUCCUGUUUCUAGAAUUCUGUGCUCUCCUUACUUUCAGAAAAAACUCAUUCUCUUCCCCUAUCUGACUUAAUAGUCAGUAAGAUGGUGGCUUCAAACUGCUUCAAAAGGUGUGGUUCGAGGAGAUGCAUGAGGAGCCUCUUGACUGCCAAGCACUUUUCUGAGAGGCAGCAAUGGAAAUCUCCAUGUGGCUUAGCUACUUCAAUUUUAAUCAACACCAAACUCUCUUUUCCUUAGUCUCUGCUGAUAUAGUCCAGUCUUUGUUUUAAAGGCUUCUCAGAACAGGUAACAAACACACAGCAUCUGGUCUAAAAUGUUCAUGUAGAAGUGCAAGCCUCUCCUGUCUUUCAGGAGAAAGGUUGAAAUAGAGGCAUUGAAAUGGCUCCCAAAUGCCUACUAUUUGUCAUGUGGCAAAUUUCUAUACCAAACAAACACAACCACAAAGUAAAUUGAAGCAUACAUAUGCAUUUGAUGUCCAGAUGAGUAUUUUGUGUUUUUAACACUGCCUAAUGAAAUAUGUGCCUAUUUAAUGGUUUUGUUGUUGUUUUUUUUUUUUGUUUGUUUGUUUUUUUAAAGUAUAACAAAAAGCAAACUAAGAGAAUGUCUGAGGUUUUUAACUGCUAUGGCAUAAAAAGGAUUUUCUCCCUGUUUCAACCUGCUCAUAUGAAUACAGCAAAGGCUUUCAAUGUGAAUAUCUACAAUGGGAUUUAUUUGUGGUAAUCUUUGUUCUUUAUUCCUUUUAAUGCUUUGAAGUACGCUUUAAAGCACUUACCUUCAGUAUCAAAAGGUUUGUGAAGAUAUACUGUUAUUUUACCAAAAACUGGCAAAAAUCAUCCUCAGUGCUGACACUGGAUGUCACUGGAUGGCAAUUUUCUACCACAGAAUUAGAAUUGCUGAUGAAUAUGUUUGUUUUCUACUCCAUACUGUAGAGGGAAAACAGCUUCAAAAAAGUCACCUAGGAGAGUAUGCCCAGGAACUUAUCAGGCAAACACAUUCAAGACACUGAGACAUCCAACUGACUUUUAGGUGAGACCAUCAGCACUUUUGCCACAGUGCUGUUUGUAAUAUUUUAAAAGCAAUGCAUUUUAAAAAUGCAUUUAAAAAUUUCUUGCUAAUGCAUUCCCAGUGGAUCCAGAAAUUAUAACUAUAUUUCUUUUUUUCUGUUAGGAUUUUAGGAAAUCCAAGGACAAUUGUGAUCUGUAACAUCAUCUGUAAGGGGUAUGCAAAGGAUUUUCUCAUUAUUAGGUGCCUCAGAAAGUACUCCCCCAAAUGCAGCUGCCUCAGACAUGUUUUUGGGAUUUAAAUCUUCAAAGAGGAAGUUUAUUGUCUCGUCUAGAUCAACUGUCAGAUAUCAUGCUCCAGGAAAUAAAAGAAUUGGCUGAUUUAUUUACUUUUUUACUUGGUAAGUAAGGGACCUGGAAUAACACAGAUCUAAUCAGCAUCCUAUUGUGAUUGCCAAGUGAGUUCCUCUUGAGCAAUAUCAGUGAAUUAUCCCCUGACACCAUCAGGAAACAGUGAGCAAUGCAGCAUGUGAGCGCACUGCAGCAUGAGGUACCCAAGACAUAGUACCUGCAGCAGGUUCAACCAGUGACAUAUUACAAACCAUUUCUUCUAAAAAACAUGAAAAAACUGUGAACAGCCUGUUUUACACAUGCACUUUUAUGGCGCAGCUUUCUGCACAGGCCUUGCUCCCAUUGCUAGGAAAGCAGACAGUUUGUAGGGCACCAGCAUUUAUGUCACCUUGCAGGUGUUAGGGCAGUGCAAAUUAUAGUGACUCAUAGUGGCUCAGUGACAGGCUUGAGUACUUCAUGAAGCAGCUGAUGCUGAUGAUGCAACUCCUCCUCUUUUCCUCCCAGAACAUGCUAAUAUCAGCAGCAACUCUGCUUUAAAGAGCUCUUCACCAAUGUUCCCUUCUAAUGCCAAAGAACUGACUCUAUCACUGGAAUGGCAAAAGUUUUCCUGUGCUGCUAGAAGGACUUUUUUUUUUUUUUUUUUUGGUAUGUCUAAGAUGCUUUUUUAUACAUAUGUCCAGCAAGAAAAUGACAGGAUCCAUGUUUGAACAACAGGGAAGGGUACUAAGAAUGCCAAAUUCAGGACAGGAUUAAUCCCAGGACCUCCAUUCUCUCAUUCCACACUUACUCUACUAACUCACUUGGGCAAUGGGAACUCCCCUUCACCAAAAUAUUAGUUACUGCUCAAGAUUCUUCCCUUUAAUUAAAGCUGGACUUUUCAAUUACUCUUUGUAAGCCAUCACAGAAUCAAGAGAAUGUUUAGGUCUGGAAGGGAUCACUAAAGGUCAGCUAGUUCAAGCUCCCUGCUCAAGUACGUGUCCCUAGAGCACAUUACUCAGGAUUGUGUUCAGACAUAUUUUGAGUAUCUCCACAGAGGAGACUCUACAACCUCUCCAAACAGGGCUCAGUCAUCCUCACAGUAAAACUUUCCACAUUGUUCAGGUGGAACUUCCUGUGCUCCAGUUCCUGCCCAGUGUCCCUUGUCCUAUUGCUUGGCACCACUGGGAAGAGCCAUCCUCUAGACAUCCUCCCUUCUGAUACCCACAGACACUGAUAAGAACCCCGCUCAAUUGUGUCUUCUCCUGGCAAAAUAACUCCCUCAGCCUUUCUUCAUAUGAGAGGGGCUGCAGUUCCCUUCUGUAGUCCUCUGCUGGACCCCCUCCAGGAGCUCCAUGUCUCUCUUGUGCUGAUGCCAGAACUGGACACAGCACUCCAGGUGAUGCCUCACCAGGGUCAAGUAGAGGGGCAGGAUUGCCUCCCUUCACCUCCUGGCAAUUCUCUUUGGAAUGGAGCCCAAGAUUCCAUUGGCCUUCUUGGACACAUCACGUCUAUUUUCUCCUGUGCCACUACUGCACGCACAGUGAAACAUGAGACUCCUAUAAAAAAACCUUUGCUUAUAGCUCCUGGUGCCCAGUGAGAACUGGGCAUUGCACUGAAAAAAAGGAUUUUAUCUUAAAAGACCAGAAGAAUAUUUUAGAAGCUGUCGCAUUUGAGUAGAUAUUUUCAAGAAAGUUUAAAGUUAAGUCACUUAUUUGAUUCCUUAGCAAACCUGUAGGUGAAUCUUACCUGACCAGUGCUCUCAGAAAAUAAAUGCCCUAUCAUGGACCACUUGCAGAAUUGUUGGUAGUCUUGAUAGUACUAUAAAAGUCACAAGGUGUGAAGAUCUCACAGAGUUUCCUUUUAAGUUGAUUCUUAAAAGGGAAAAUCACAGUAGAAUCACAUUAAAAACCCAUUAAAGAACUGCCUGAAAGGGAUCUCAGGAGGUCAUCCAAGUUCUGCUGCCUCAUGGCAUUUCUGAUGGUUGUUGCUGGCAUGUAAUUUCUGACAGUCCCUUCUCCCACCUGUUCUUAAAAUCCUCUAAUUACAACUCUCUCCCAUCUUCCCUCUGGCUAUUGUUUCCAGUGCUAUCAUUACUUGUGGAAAGUUUUGCUAACACAUGACCGCCAUAUCCUUUGCAACAGUUCUAUAUUUACUGCUUCUUGUUCUGCCCCUAGCAGACAAUGUGCAGACCAGCAAGGAGGGGCAUUAUUUCAAUCCUCCUUUUUAGCAGUGUACUGGAAGACUUAACACUUGGUCUUAACAUUUUCAUGCAUAUGCAAUCACAUAGGUAUAUGGCCAGGCCACAGCUUUUUGAACUGCAAAGCCCCUGACUUUGUCCCUAAGCUGCAGUUUUUCCAUACCCUAUCAAAAUGUAAGGCUAUGCUCAUGUCUGAACAGGAAAGAGGGCAAACUCCUUUUGGGCCUUUUCCCUUCACUUCCAGACCCACAUGAUUUUCUUUUCUUGGAGCAGUAUUGCCUUCUGAAAACAGAGAUAAAAAGCUAGGUCUGUGUUCUAACAGCAUCAUGAUUUCUUAUCAGUUUCCCAAAUAUACCCUGAAUAAUUGUUUUCCUUCUUCCUGUGCACUGCUUGCCAGUAAGCACACUGGCAAAACACCUAACUGUUAGAGUGGGAAAGGAAGUGACUUUGCAGCUGUCAAAGAAAUGUUCUCCAGGAAACAGACGGCUAGAGCUAUUAUUUACAGCUGACCAUACAUGUUAGACAAAAGCCCACACUACAAAAUCUGGAGUAUCUGGAAAAGUAGUGAUGCAUCACUAAAUGUAUGCAAAGAGGAUGGGUGGUUGGUGCUGUGCAUGCAACACCCUUCUUUACUUGGAGAGGUUGUGUGGCAUAUUAAGAACCUGUCUGAUUUCUCCUGUCUAAAUUCUCUGAUACUUGGAUCAAAGUUACGUAUUGACAAAGUUACAUAUUAUAUAUUCCAUUAUAAUGAAGUACAAAUUAAAUGGGUACAAAUAGUGAAUUGUAUGUCUGGUGUAUGCAAGAAGGUGAUAGGUCAGUGAUAUUCUACAGAGGCAGAGGAUGAACUGCUGGUAAACCCCUGCCUGGGCUUUUACACUUGGGCAUACAGUGCUCACCGUAGUUCUAUGUCUGAAAGAUAUUUUGUUUGCAGGGCAUGUGCUGUACUUCUGCACAACUGCUUGCUUACUUCCAACCUCAAAAAAGUUAUACAAAAGCUAACUAAGUAACAGCCCAUACAUGGGCAUAGCUGUACAGUGGGAAAGACAUUCCGGAACUUAUGACAGGAAAUGAAAUAUAUUUUGAGAAAUUAUUCCUACUAUGUCAUUGAAAAGCCAUUUUAUGACAGACAAUUAAGCCUUGCAUUUUGAUGCUAGAAAUGCAAGGACUACUUUUAAAACAAAUCUUUCUGUUGAUUUUUCCAUAAGUAAGUUUUUAAAAGGCUAAGAAAUAUUUCAGGUGUAUGAGGAGGUGAAUCUUAGUGUACAUGCAAAGUUGUCUCACCUUUGAGAUCCCUUCACUAAUCCAUUAAUUCAUACCUGGCAUAUGAUGUGCUAACAUUUUUAGGUUAAUUUUGAUUUUGUUGCAUGAUCAUAUCCUGACGUUCCUUGUGAUGGUAGAUGAUGAAACAUGCAACAAAUUAGGUCUCAAGAGAGUAUAGUUCUGAGACAGUUACCAUCUUGUUAUAAAUAAGUGGAUGUUGGAGUAUUUUUUUACUGUUAUGCUGUCAGUCAUAUUUUGUUAUGCAAUUGAUCUUAUGACAAUUUGAUGUUACAAAAAGGUUUCUGAAUGACAAUUACAGUGAAGUGAAA
This 9258-nucleotide long non-coding RNA is filed under the name Taeniopygia guttata (zebra finch). RNAcentral's name for it is "lncRNA (ENSTGUG00000020293.1)". The record is from RNAcentral. Lineage: Eukaryota; Metazoa; Chordata; Aves; Passeriformes; Estrildidae.